This is a long non-coding RNA of Gadus macrocephalus (Pacific cod), 1046 nucleotides long. RefSeq lists it as uncharacterized. Lineage: Eukaryota; Metazoa; Chordata; Actinopteri; Gadiformes; Gadidae. The transcript has 6 exons. The record is from RefSeq and is a predicted model, not a curated record.
ACCACAACAGCAGCAACAACCACAGCCCCCGCAACCACAACAGUAGCUGCAACCACAGCUGCCGCAACCACAACAGCAGGCGCAACAACAACAGCCGCCGCAGCCACAACGAUUCCACCAGUACUGAUACCCAACAGUAUCGUAGAAAGUCUAUCGAGCCCCAUCUCCAACCAAGGCUGCAGUAGUUCCCAGCUCUGUGCCUCACAGCCACAGAGCUGUGACCCAUCGGUGGCUGGAUCCUGUUUCUUUGUGGGUGCCAGACGGACUGCCGGACAGAACUUUGAGUUUGGACUCUCUGGACAGUCCGAUGGCUACAUAGGCUGCACGUUGUCAGCAGACAAUGCUUUGGGAGGAGGAGAUACUACUUACGUUUGCGCCAACAACAAUGGAAGGGUCGAAUUCAUCGGAACGAUCUUGCAAAACGGUCGAUUGAUUCGACGAACUCUGAAUGCAAACUCGGUGAGGGGACGCAUCGACGGAAACAGAAUCCAGUGUACGUUCGCAGCCACUAUCCCCGAUGCGACAGUCAGAAUGACGCCGUCUACCUUUUCGUUAGCUCUUGUCACCGGAGCAUUCAACCCCGCCACCGAUGUUCUGGGAGCUCCCGAGGCCAGAGUCCAGACAGAAAUGUUGGAGCUGGGCAAUCCCAACUCCAAUAGCACCAACGUCAUCACCUCCGCCGGCGGCAGGCCAACCUACCAGGCACUGUCACAAGCUCUGCUCAUCAUCCUAGGGACCGUGAGCCUGACCUUGCUAUAAAGCAGCUUUCAGAAGGUCCAAAAGUGGCAAAAACCUACAUUACAUAUAAUUAACUACAUAAAAAAAAUAUGUAUAAUUUGUAAAAUACUUUUCAAUCCUCUCUCUUCGUUGAAUGAUGCCGCUGGAUGGCAGAAACAAAGAUUAUAUUUAAUUAGCCCUGAAUAUAAUUUUUGGGUGAAAAUAAUUAUUAUAUAAUUAUUUAUUAAACACCAAUAUUUAUUGGAAUAUUUACUGGUAAUUAUGGAAUGCAUUAAUUCAGUCUAGAAGUGAUGAAAUGAUUCUAGUCA